GCAAGUCGAACGCAGUAGCAAUACUGAGUGGCAAACGGGUGAGUAUAAUGUGGGAAUCUGCCUUUUGGUUUGGAAUAACACGGGGAAACUUGUGCUAAUACCGAAUAAGCCCUUACGGGGAAAGUUUUAACGCCGAAAGAUGAGCCUGCACUUGAUUAGCUAGUUGGUAAGGUAAAGGCUUACCAAGACAACGAUCAAUAGCUGUUCUUAGAGGAAGACCAGCCACAUUGGGACUGAGACACGGCCCAGACUCCUACGGGAGGCAGCAGUGGGGAAUCUUGCACAAUGGGGGAAACCCUGAUGCAGCGAUGCCGCGUGAGUGAAGAAGGCCUUUGGGUUGUAAAACUCUUUCGUCGGGGAAGAAAAUGACUGUACCCGAACAAGAAGGUCCGGCUAACUUCGUGCCAGCAGCCGCGGUAAUACGAAGGGACCUAGCGUAGUUCGGAAUUACUGGGCUUAAAGAGCUCGUAGGUGGUUAAAAAAGUUGAUGGUGAAAUCCCAAGGCUCAACCUUGGAACUGCCAUCAAAACUUUUUAGCUAGAGUGUGAUAGAGGUAAGUGGAAUUUCUAGUGUAGAGGUGAAAUUCGUAGAUAUUAGAAAGAACACCAAAUGCGAAGGCAACUUACUGGGUCACUACUGACACUGAGGAGCGAAAGCAUGGGUAGCGAAGAGGAUUAGAUACCCUCGUAGUCCAUGCCGUANACGAUGUGUGCUAGACGUUGGAAAUAUAUUUUUCAGUGUCGCAGCGAAAGCAUUAAGCACACCGCCUGGGGAGUACGACCGCAAGGUUAAAACUCAAAUGAAUUGACGGGGACCCGCACAAGCA
Molecule: ribosomal RNA, 826 nt
Filed under: uncultured marine bacterium
Lineage: Bacteria
Description: bacterial SSU rRNA
Rfam family: Bacterial small subunit ribosomal RNA
Source: RNAcentral